GCCUGAGUGGCUCAGUCAGUUAAGCGUCUGACUUCGGGUCAGGUUAUGAUCCCCCAGUUCGUGGGUUCAAGUCCCGCAUCAGGCU
Molecule: transfer RNA, 85 nt
Filed under: Felis catus (domestic cat)
Lineage: Eukaryota; Metazoa; Chordata; Mammalia; Carnivora; Felidae
Rfam family: tRNA
About the family: Transfer RNA (tRNA) molecules are approximately 80 nucleotides in length. Their secondary structure includes four short double-helical elements and three loops (D, anti-codon, and T loops).
Source: Rfam by way of RNAcentral